GAUCAUGGGCUCAGGAUGAACGCUAGCGGCAGGCUUAACACAUGCAAGUCGAGGGGCAGCAUAAUGGAUAGCAAUAUCUAUGGUGGCGACCGGCGCACGGGUGCGUAACGCGUAUGCAACCUACCUUUAACAGGGGGAUAACACUGAGAAAUUGGUACUAAUACCCCAUAAUAUCAUAGAAGGCAUCUUUUAUGGUUGAAAAUUCCGAUGGUUAGAGAUGGGCAUGCGUUG
RNAcentral lists this ribosomal RNA (231 nucleotides) under uncultured bacterium. Its description in RNAcentral is "partial 16S ribosomal RNA". It matches the Rfam family "Bacterial small subunit ribosomal RNA", at positions 15 to 238 of the family's 1533-position model. The record is from RNAcentral.